Molecule: transfer RNA, 70 nt
Filed under: Allacta hainanensis
Lineage: Eukaryota; Metazoa; Arthropoda; Insecta; Blattodea; Pseudophyllodromiidae
Description: tRNA-Ser
Source: RNAcentral
AGUUAAAAACUUUAAAUAAAGUGUAAUGUUUUGAAAACAUUAAAAAGAAGUUUAAUUCUUCUAUUAACUU